Molecule: long non-coding RNA, 417 nt
Filed under: Homo sapiens (human)
Lineage: Eukaryota; Metazoa; Chordata; Mammalia; Primates; Hominidae
Description: non-protein coding lnc-TMEM258-3:6
Source: RNAcentral
GGGCUGGGCAGUGAGCUUCUUCAGAGCUGAGGUUCUUCUCUGCCACCCCCUCCUGUCUUGCAGGUCUCAAACCGCGUCAGGCCCCUCGAGAGCUCCUAUGGAUCAACAGUGUCUGGGGAGAGCCAGAGCCCCGGGACAGAUGCAGGGCUGCCUAAGACCCUCAGAUGGCCCACCUGAUGCAGAGUCAACCAUUCAAUCUAGUCCAAGCCUGAACUCUUGGGUUCUGGGUCUGUGGGGUGUCCAGAAUCCUGGAGUGGGAUGACUGAGGCUUAGGGGUGCCCCUGCCUGGGCUGCUCAGCCAGCAGGUGUGAACAAGGGUUCCUGCCUCCCAAGUCACAGAGGGAGAGAAACUGAGGCACCGGAAGACCUGCUUCUCUCCUCCACAGGACUCCACAGGAAUCUGGGGCUUGAAACUUG